UACGUAGGGUGCAAGCGUUGUCCGGAAUUAUUGGGCGUAAAGAGCUCGUAGGCGGUUUGUUGCGUCGGCUGUGAAAUCCCGAGGCUCAACCUCGGGUCUGCAGUCGAUACGAGCAAACUAGAGUGUUGCAGGGGAGACUGGAAUUCCUGGUGUAGCGGUGAAAUGCGCAGAUAUCAGGAGGAACACCGGUGGCGAAGGCGGGGUCUCUGGGCCGAUAAUUCGACGCUGGAGGGAGCGAAAGCGUGGGGAGCGAACAGG
Molecule: ribosomal RNA, 258 nt
Filed under: uncultured bacterium
Lineage: Bacteria
Description: partial 16S ribosomal RNA
Rfam family: Bacterial small subunit ribosomal RNA
Source: RNAcentral